GGGUCAGGAGGUUGGUCGUGCCACCGGUACGUACUGGUCUCACUGAUUCCUCCUUCCUGAAGAACCGUAAUGCCAUUAAUUUGGUGUUGCGGGGAAACAGGACUAUUACUUUGAAAAAAUUAGAGUGUUUAAAGCAAGCUAACGCUUGAAUACAUUAGCAUGGAAUAAUGAAAUAGGACGAUCGAUCCUAUUUUGUUGGUUUCUAGGAUUGACGUA
RNAcentral lists this ribosomal RNA (216 nucleotides) under Glomeromycotina sp. RNAcentral's name for it is "partial small subunit ribosomal RNA". The stretch from base 40 to 216 matches the Rfam family "Eukaryotic small subunit ribosomal RNA", at positions 686 to 864 of the family's 1831-position model. Lineage: Eukaryota; Fungi; Glomeromycota. The record is from RNAcentral.